UCGUACGAUCUGCAACUUUAGCAGUGCACCCAUUUUGAUAGUUAGUGCACAACCAAAACGCAAUGGAACCAACCAAUCUAAAUAAUGAAUCUUUAUGAUCAGCCAGCCAAAGACAGCGGUGAACGUUUAGAUAUAUAUAAAAAAUUCAGAUAUGUACCUCUCUCUCGCUUUUUAGCAUUAUAUCGAUGUGGGACUAAAUAGUUACUUUUACAUGCUAUUUGCCUGUGUCAUAUAGUCACAUGUAUAAUAUGUAUUAUUAUUAUUAUUUAAAUAAAAAAAUCUCAGACUUUAAAAGUGUAAAAUUACAAAAGUAAUAAAACAUAAAAGACGUCAUCUUACUUCAUCUAGGUGGCUCGAUUGUUCUGAUACAAACCCAACUCCGUCGAGUCUCUGAUUCUCUGGUGGGUUUCUCAUCCUCAUACAGGAGCGGAUCUAGCUUCGGAAUAGGGGAUACCUCAAUUUUUACAUAAAAAAAAAAGAACCUGGUAUAGUUUUAACAAUGUUUAGGGAUUAAAAAAAUCAAUUUUUUUUUGUAGAAAUUAAACUCAUACUUUGACGCUUAUCAAUUUUUUAUUUUUAUUAUUUGGAAAUUUCUCAAUCCCUUCGAUUUCCGUCAAAUUCUGAAAUCCCAACCCAUUACAACCUUUGAAAGUCGCCGUCGUCCGAAACAGCUCGCCAAAGUUUCCUGUAGUCGUCGGAGCCGGCCCAGUCAUCCCUUUCUACUGCUGCUCCGCCUCGUCGGAACCGGUUGUUUUAUAAAUUAUCUAAAUUUCACCAACUUUUCGAAAUCUGACCCUACACCAAAUCCUCUUCUUGGUCAUCUAUUUUCUUUCAUAGAUCUCCAUUGAUGACCAUGUUACGGAUGAAGCCGCUACCUUAUUGAUCGACAAUGGCUUGGGAGCAAUUGCUGAACUUUUCGAGAAGACUGGAGCGCCGGCGGCCACCUUGCCCAUCGUCGACGAGGAAUCAGGAGUCGCCCUCACGACGACCUCAUUGGAACCAGCCCGAGACCGCUCGACCCGAUUAAAGAAACCUUCUAUUUAGGUGACUGAUUAUGUGAAGUAAAGAUUGCAAGAAGACCCCGAACUUCCUUCUUUUAUUUUAAGAAACUUAAAGUUAGAUUAAUUACAUUUUAAUCCAGU
RNAcentral lists this long non-coding RNA (1142 nucleotides) under Zostera marina. Its description in RNAcentral is "long non-coding RNA (ZMAR_LNC003174)". Lineage: Eukaryota; Viridiplantae; Streptophyta; Magnoliopsida; Alismatales; Zosteraceae. The record is from RNAcentral.